Molecule: ribosomal RNA, 253 nt
Filed under: uncultured bacterium
Lineage: Bacteria
Description: partial 16S ribosomal RNA
Rfam family: Bacterial small subunit ribosomal RNA
Source: RNAcentral
UACGUAGGGGGCAAGCGUUGUCCGGAUUCAUUGGGCGUAAAGAGCGUGUAGGCGGCCAGGUAGGUCGGUUGUGAAAACUGGAGGCUCAACCUUCAGAGGUCGACCGAAACCAUCUGGCUAGAGUCCGGGAGAGGAGAGUGGAAUUCCUGGUGUAGCGGUGAAAUGCGCAGAUAUCAGGAAGAACACCCGUGGCGAAAGCGGCUCACUGGAACGGUACUGACGCUGAGACGCGAAAGCGUGGGGAGCGAACAGG